UACAUAAAAUAUUGUUAUGCAGACAGGUGGAUCUGUGGCAAAGGGACACAAAUCAGUGGCUGGUUUUGGUUUUGAAAUUGCAGUAUUGCUGAAAGGAGAGAUUCCUAAAUAUCUCAGAAAAUUUGGCACAGGCUGACUUCCUGGUGGUUGUGUAGCUGGGACUUGGAAACCAAAUUCUAGAUUGCUAUCCUCUCCCCCUGGUGUCAUGAAAGUAGACUGCUGAGUGCCAUUUACACUUGAGCUGCUAUUAACUGUAUGUAAGGUAAAUUCUCAGCUGCUUUAGCUAGUGUUUUGGCCUUCAAAUAAUAGAAAUAUUUGCAUGCUUCUACAUUUUUGACUUGGUUGUGAAAAUGUCAUGGGAGGGGAUAUGAACACUUCAGCAUCUUAUAGGAGAUUUCAUCAGCAUUAAGAUGUAUUAAGAACCACAGUACUUUGUAUAAAAGUGUUCUGGAUAAUUAAAUUUCGAUCUGUACAGCAAACUGGAGGAAAUCUUGAUCUUGACAGAAAUCACUGAACAUCUUGCUGCUAUAUAUUUGGUUCCAGGAGAGUGAGGAUUUCACCCUCUGUAUCUCUAGCUGAUCAGCAAAGCCUUUAGAAGGCUCCUCAUCUCCUAGGGAGCAGAAGAAAGGCAGAUAAUAUACAUGUAAGGGUACCUAAAUAUAUUAUGGACAUUUAGAUGUUGUUUUGUACACCAUAUAAAAUUACAUGCCAUCUUAGUGAAAGAAAAAGGUGUCAAGACUUUCAAGCUCUGGGGGAUGUCCUUGUUACGUAACUCAACUGUCCAACUUUCACUUAAUUAGCAAGGUUUUGUAUAAAAGCAUACCGACUCAAAGGAUCAUAGCCAUUCCUGUAAUUUGAUUAUAAAUAUAAUGCCUGUGUGACACCUUUCUGCCUAUGAUGUUAUGUGUAAUCCUUUCUGUGUGUGGCUACAGCUCUUGGGAGUUCUAUAUUAAACUCAGUACUGUGGUUACUUGUGAAUGAAAUUACUGGAACAGUGUUGGAGGAAAAAGUACACGGAAGGAUUUAAGGCAGAACAUAGCAAAGCAAAGGCUGCAAUUAUCUGCAGCUGAAAACAAGUAGCUUUUAAUGUGUCCAUUCACCUAAGAAGGAAGGGAGAAUUAUAGACCACAUGCUCUUUCUUUCCCUUUUUCUAUCAUUUCUCUUCUUUUUCCUUUAUACAGUUUAUCACCCAUAAUUUCAGGAUGUGUUUUGUUUCUUUAAGCUGUUUUAUCUAUAGGCUUAUGAGGUCAGUCAUGUGUGAAUUCUUUUGUUAGUCACCUCACCUUUUGCCUUGAUGAUAGAAAAUUGAUCAGGCCUAAAGUACAAGUUCAAUAGACAACCCCCUUGGUCCUUUGUCUAGGAGAAUAGCUACCAUUGAAGGCCAUGAGCAGGUUGCUAUUAAUAUGACAGCCUGCUCUAUCUCCCACUGUAAUUUAUAAUGAAAUACCUAAUCUCCAUUAUUUUGAUCCAAGCAGGCGAUCCCAUGAAAAAGUCUUUUCAUCCAGUUCCCAAUGGCAGUUACAUGAGAAAUGGCAAACCAAUAAUUUUUGUCAAGUUUUUUAAGCCAACAGAAAUGCUUUUCCACUGCUACAGUUUCAAAAGGCACAGAUAAAGCUCAUUCACUGAGAUGAAUGAAAAAGCCAUCUGGGGUUUUUCUUUUUGACUUCCUUUCCUUUUCUCCAUCCUUGUAAUCAAAUUUGAGCAAAAUCAAAUGGGGCUUUCUAUGAAAGUACCUUUUGUUGAUCUGAACGAGCUGGUAAUUUACAAAAUACCCUUCCUUUGUGAGGAAGGCUAAAGAAAAAAAGAAUCAGUAGCUUUUAAAGCUGGGCCUUGGUGGGACUCUAAAUGCAGUGAAAGCAGUCUGUGUUGAGAGAUUGAAAUGCAUUUCAAAGCCAGGCCUGAGUCAGGGUACAGGGAAGAAAAAACCUAUGUGCAUUUUAUAAGAAGAAAAACCUGAAUGGGAAGGGGAAAAGAGAGAGAGGAAAAAAUCUGGAUAAUACAUUAAUCAUUAUUUUGGAAAUUGUCUUCCUUACUGACACAUACUGCGUAACUAGUGAUUGAGAACUUGGAUUUUUGUUCUAUUAUAGGCAUCUCAACAUUUGUCUGUGCUGCUUUAAAGUUUGAGAGGCAAGGAUCCUUGAACACUGCUGGACUAUGUUUUAAAUGUGUAUAUAUAUUUUUUCAACUUUGCUUUUUGUGGUUCUUUUUCUUUUUUUUAACCUUGCCUGUGAAGUAUUAUGGGGAAAAAUACUUGCAGGAAAGCUGAGUUUAUCCUUUUUGGCGUGCUAAUGUUUAUUUUUAUUGUAUUUCUGCUUACCAGAUUUCCUAGUGGUAAUUAUUUCCCAUUGACUCAGACUAAAGGACAGUGUGGACACCUAACAAAUAGUGUGCAGCUGAUAUGGAGAAUAUGCCAAGUCAACUGGAUGAGUCAGCACAGGCAACACAAAGGACUGCAGUUAAAAGCCAGGGCUAGGACUUGGAGGAUGUGUAGGCAAACGGAAGGAGAGCCGGGGGAAGAAAAACCGAAAUGGAUUCAUUCUCUGUCCUGGAUGGAGGAGGAGAGGAGAGGAGAGGAGAAGGGGACGUGCGAGCUUCCUUCAACUGCCUCUGUCCGGUGAAAAGUGCUCAGACCCCCGGGGCUGAGCCGGGCUCAGGAGUCCACGCGGACUUUCGCUUUAAGCUGCCAAUCAAACCGCUAACUAGCCACCACCCUGCGCUGGCACCGACAUGAUCUGCGGGAUCUCCCCCUGUGAGAGGCAACUCAGGCAGCUCGGUCCUCUCUGCCAUCUCAGCACUGCCAGUGGAGAAGCCCAGGAGUGCAGAGCAGUGGCUGAGCAGCAAUUUGAAUAUUCAUAUUUAACUCUUCAAACAACAGAAGAUACUUCAAAACCAUGCUAAGAAGGAUAAGCUUGGAGUGCCCAGUCACCGUGGUAACUGCCAGAAAAAUUCUCCUGAAGUUUGAAGAGGUCAGCUAACGGGGUCAACAACUCUGGCCUCUCCCUGAGCUGGGCCUGGCAGGCUCCAUCCUGCGGUUGGGGUGUUAGCACAGGCUGAGCCCUGGGAGGUGGACCAUUCCAGCUCUGAUAUAAAUUUUUUGAGUCAGUUCACGGCCUGGACUCUCCAGGUGGCCUCCAAAAUCGAUUGUGACCUUGUGACCCUGUCUAACGGAGGCAUAGCAUCCAACCUAAGUAAGGAUUUAGCCAGGAACGACAGCUUUCCACUGAGUGUUAUUGGGGACAGUACAAACAGUUUUGGAAGCAAGGAGGUUCUCACAAUACUGUCAAGAUGCUACAAACCCCAUGUGACAGAGAUUAGAGGGGAAUACUUAUUUGAAGAAAUCUUUGUCUGUAGCUGUAUUCAUCCAUGGGCAGACAUGAAGCAGCCACCUCUGAGCUCGCUGUGAUUAACCCAUCGGCUUGCAAACCCGUCUGAAGACAGCGCUGCGUAGCUGGUAAGAUGCUUGCAUUUCAGCUCAGUACCCAGAAAACUGGGUACCUUCUAGGGUGUUUCUGAAGUAAUGUAGACAAAUUGGAGACCCUUGGUCCUUAGCCAGAGCAGGCACAGGUAACAUACCAAAAUGAUGCUUCAGGGGAGCAGGGAAGAUGUUCAGUUUUUUGUCCUUUGACUGGAGUAAAUUUGAAAGCUAUGGAGAGGCACCAAGCACAGGCUGGGGAACCAGGCUUUGAGGGCAUGGAAACCAUGGAAGAACUUCCAUCACUGAUACUCUGAUGCCCUCUAUCUUGUUUCCACCCAGGGCAAAGCUCACUGCCCCACCACCUGGGCUGUAAGUGAAUGAUACUUCCUUCAUGACUCACCAUACCCCCACGUUUGUAGCUCAUCCCCUGGUGCCUGGCAGAGCACCCGGGGCCAGGCACACUGCAAGACCCUGCUGUAGGAACGUAACUAAGAAAUGCAGUUGGGAAGGCCAAGGAAGUGUUCUAUCAGUAGCUGUGUAAAGGUAGGGGUAGCUGUUCCAGCACAGAGGGCAGGUAUUGAAACGUUUCACCCAUACCUACCGCAGCAAAGUUGUGGUCGUUAACUUGAGUGACGGGAAUGGGGAACUGGGAUGUCUCAGCCCAGACUCCCUCAAGCCUUGAUUUGGUGGUUGAGAUCUUGAACAUAGCUAGAGCCUACGACAUUAAAGGCUUUAUAAAAGCAACAGUGCCAGUUUAAAACCAACCUCCCACAUCACCAGCAGCCCCAGCAGGUGUAACGUGAUCCAGGCAGCCCAAGCCAGUGAGUAAACAAGCUGGGGCUUUCUGAAAGAGUUGCACCAGAGAAACACUCCUCACUGGGAAUUACAGUGGGUGUUUGUGCUAAGCGAUCUGCGCUGCUAUUGAAAGACCUGUGAAAAUGGACAGACUCCUAUGACGGUUAUUUCUUUUUAUUCCAUACAGGUUUUUCCCUCUACACCCAAAACGAGGUAGGGGAAAAAUUGUAGGUGAAAUUUUCCCUAAAUAGCCUGUAAAGUCUAGUGGGAUUGUGCAUGAUGUAGCUCCUUGAACUUCAGUGGGGUCUGUUGCUGGGUUUUCCAGAGAAAGCCAGAGAAAACAAUCCUACUGCUUCAAAACUGCCAAGCCAGUCAGUGGCAUUUAAUAUUGUCCCCAAGGAAGCUGCUUCCUUUUGUUGUGUUCCCAGUCCCAUCUCCAGUGAGCAAUAUUAACUUCAGGGCUUUUUACUUGGCUCCAACAUUGGUUACUUUUUCCUCCUUCAACGCUGACACUUAAGCCUCCCGGCCGUGGUGAAUUCACCCUCUGUAGGCAGCCCUGCUGCCCUCAGCUCUUCCCUGGCGUUCCUCUGGGUCCACUGAACGGAGGUGCACCGCACCAUUUUAGAUCAUCUUGGUGUUACUGCCUGGCUCCCUAGCUGGGAGAAAUGCGUAGAAGUUAAAAAAGGUGCUAAUCUGUCCAAGUAGAGCCUGGAACUUGACAAGUAUUAUGGGUUUGGCAGGCUCUAAGGCUCGCCGCAGAGUCCUUGGAGCAUGCAGACGGUGGGCAUGCUACGCUGAGGUCCCGGCAGUUCAGCUCUGCUCCAGCAUUUCUGCCUCCCAGCCUGGGUCCCAUCCUGCCCCAGAGAGCCUCUCCCCCCUCCCCAUGCCCAUGCUCUGGUUUCUCAUGACUUAUGAUAACAUAUAAGCAGCUUAGAGAAUUUUUUAUCAGAAUAAGUUGAACACAAUGCAACAUUUAACUCUUAAUGACAGCCACCUCUGACUGUGAGUGACAUGUUAUAAAUUAUGUUUGAACUGAAUUUUUUUUUCAGAGGCAGAUAUUCCCUCUGCCACCCAGUCAGCCCUGUAACGUUGCACUUGUGGCCUUAAUCCCACUUGGAUGUGUGCCCUGCUGCCUCCACUUUCCGUCACUUGGGUACUUUAGUAUUCUUGAACAAGUGAACAAUCUUUGUUUCUGUACCUUAUUAGGCCAAAGACCAUAGCAGCUCGCGAUGGCAUCAGCAGGCCCUGCAGGCAGGAUUCUCUGCAGACACAGCCAACCUCCAACAAACCCCUUUUUAUCCUCCUGUUUCUAGGAAGAAUUAUGAUGGUGGUGCCCUGCUGUUGAUCAGUCAAAUCUGUGGUAGGCCUAGAGAUAAGUCCUGUAAGCGUGGUGUACUGUAAAACAGCGGCUCCCAUUCAUUAGUAGCUUGUGUGUAAUAAACCACCCAAAGGAGGGGGGUGGGGAGGGAGAGGGACGAGCAGCUGCAGUAUGCAGGAGCAAACAACACAACUCAUUCUUGGGAGCCAAAACUUUCUAAUUUGCUGCUGGGCUGCUGGGAGCACUCAAAUUCUUUCUGAUAAUGCGCUCGUGCCCUCAGUGCUUCUCUCUGCCUUUCCCGAGUCCUGCUCCCUUGAGGUCCCUGAGUCUGGGAUAGUUUCGCUUUGAACCCAAAACACAGAGGGUAGCUGAGCGGGGAGGAGGGGAGCCCAUCGGCUGCCCAAUGUUUGCAGACUCCAGCGUAAGCAAGCGGUGUACUCUGAGACAAGUCGUUCUGCCGCGGAAUGGCUGUUGCACGUAUCUGCUUGUGCAGUGAGUAAACAAAGCAUCACAUGGGCUGCAGAGCAAGCACAAGAUGUGGAGCGAACCCAUGUGUAUCUGAGGCAUGCAGGAGGAACAGAGUAUCUCAAAUGUUGAUUUGAGAGCCUGAUGGUGUAUUUAGAAACCUGUGUCUCCCAAGAGGCAAAAAACCCCAAGCAAACCUCAAAUCAUUAAUAGCUGAAGUUACUUGGCUUAAUUUCUACUGUUUUUUCACACGUUCCUGUAAAUAUGUGACUGUGAUAUUUCCCCAUUGAAAAUGCUUAUAGGCCUGUGAAUUUAAAUGGAAUCUGCCAAGUGUAGCGUAGGAUGUUGCAUGUGUUGAGACGUCAGUAGUCCCUAACACUUGCAUAGCUGUGAAUAUGUUGGUGCUUCAGGAUCUCAGCCUUGGACCCUCCAACUGUCUGUAAAGCACUUCAUUGCUUUGUAAUUGAAAUUACUGUGUUUGCACAACUGCUCUAAUAGACCGGACCUUUGUACCAACAUUUGUACUGUCACAGGAAAAUGAAUUUAUUUUCAGAUAGAUGCUGCUCCAGAGGAGGGCUGUACCCUUGCAGGAGAUGACAGUGACUGCUUUUUCACAGUGAUGUGCCAGGCUGUGACGGUGCUGGGACUGCCUCCUAACAUUUGUGUAGACAAGGGCUACUUUAAUGGCAAAUUCAGGCUUGGGCCAAACUGCGAGUACUCUUUAUGUGGCCAAGGCAAAAUCACAGAUUUGAGCUUUUCCACUUUCCUGCUGGAGAUCCAUCUUUCUUUCUGCUCUCUGGGAGGAGCUGUGCUGUGUUGCCAGAUUCUUAAGCUCUGAAAUGAGAGGUGCUUCUGCCAGACUGCUGCUUGGUGAGGUUACCCAGUGGGCUGAGGUAAAAACGUCUCAAAAGAGCCCUUGUGUGCAUCCACAAAAUGGUGUUAACGAAACCUGGGUACAAAAUGGUUUUCUCAUCCGAAAGUUUAGGUCAUGCAGUUUAGCUGGUCCGCCACUAUGAGUUCUGAUUGUGGCAUUUUAGCAUGUCUGACAAAGUCAAAUCCCCCAAGCUUAGGUAGGUAGGUAGGUAGGUGGGCAGAUACCUUUAUAAUAAAAAUUCUCAGGUCAGUGCCAAUUUCCAGCAUGGAGCCUGACUUCACUAUGCUGUUGCCAGGAUUUCCAGCUAGAAUUGCAGUGAGGAGGAUUUUAUGGGAAUCUCUCCAUGACUUUUCAAAGAAAAUUGCAAGGUAACAUCUCUGGUAAUUGUUGCAUGUCUUCACUAUGUGAGUAGAUGUGUCUGUAGCAGAGAAGCACCAGCAGGAAAGCUCCAGCGCUGGUCAGGCAGACCUGCUCCCCGAUGGCAGGCAGCGCCCAGCAGUUACCUGUCUGCGAUCAGGUUGUCAGCAGAAGGUUUGAAGUUACAGAUGAGAUCAGAAAACUGAGUGACUGGGCUGGGUAGGUACGUAAUCAGGGGAGGGAGUUUUUUUCUGAGGGUUUGAGCCCCAUCUCCAACACAAGCAAAGCCAUGUAAUCCUUUCCUUGCAAUUAGAGCUGCAAAAUAACCCCUGGGCCAGAGCACUCACGCAAGGACCAAUUAGACAAGCUAGACAGUGGGAAAAGCUAAAAAUAGCAAAUAAUCUGCCUCCACAAAAAUACCUUGAAUUGUUUGAAAAGGAUGUUUUCUGAAUUUCCUGGGAAUCAUUUACUGGUUUUAUAUUUUCAUAGUGUUCUGCCAGAAGGGCUGUAUUCUAACCGUUGUUUGACAGAGGUAAACAUGAGUACCCAACUCUCUUCUUACACUUGAGACACUGAACAAAGCUGAGUAAGUUCUGAGAUUUUAAUAUCUAACCAACUGAAAUUGGGGGAAAUGAAUUUUUUCAUAUUGAACUGAGGCAAAAUAUGCCUUAGUGCUCUUUCAAGAAAAGCUGUCUAAUAAUCUGGGGGUAAAUAAUGACUUAUUUGGAGUUGUUUAAUGACUCAACCCAGUUUUCUUUAAAAAAGGAUGUAUGAAUCAAUUAUAUUCAACCAUUAGUUGAAUCCAAACUAUUAUAAUAACUCCUUUUGGAAAAUAUAUUAUUUGUGAAAGGCUGACAAUGGCUGACUUAUUUUGCAGCACUCCUGAGCUGGAUGAAAUGUAAAAAUAAAAAAGCUAAUCAGAACAGAAUAUUUUUAGUCUUUUGCAGGGAACUAUAGAUGAUGCUAUGUUAUUAAGAAUGAUCUUAAAGGAUGAUUUGACUGUUUCUGAUGCAUUUUAAUAAAUGUAACAUAACUCAGACCUGAGGCUUGCAAGCAAAAUGGUGUGUUCAGAAUUAGCUGUUUAUUAAUGCAUGUAAAAAAGGGGUUAUAGGUUGCUAUGAUUAUUAUUUUUUGCUGGUGACUUGCAUAAUACUGUAUGAAAAAUGCUGUGAACAGUAAAUGACAUUCUGUUCUGUCUUCUCUAUCUACAGGAGAUAAUUCAAGAGGAAAAAAAAAACCCUAUAAAAUUAAACAGCAAACUCUGUGUAUCUGUGUGCACAUACACGUGUGUAUGCAUGUACUGUUGCUGGCAGGCUUGUUUUCAAGUGGAGGGUUCAGUGAUGGAUGUUUCAGCAUAAACUUUAAGUGUGUGGCAGACUGUGUUUUGUGUGGUACCUGCAGCUUAUUUCAUGAGCUGCUCUUUCCCAUUCCAGGCAAGCGUAACGUGUCGCAGCACUGUCAGCACCCCACCAGCCUCGUGACGGGGAUGCUAUAUUGAAAUUCCAGGAGCUAUUUUCCCACUGCUGACUUGGAGCAGGAGUGACUGUGGUGGUGAAGGGGGUGCACCGGGGCCAGACGGGCUCUCGGGGUGCUGUGUGGUGGUGGGAGGUGUCGCUGGCCCUGGCGUUCCUGCAGGUGUGACCAUUGGAAGGGUCUCUGGCCGCGCUGCAUCCAUGUGUGUGAUGUGCAUCUGGGCGUGUGAGCACGGCGGGUGUUCGCUGGCCUGGCUGCUGGACACGUGGUGACCGGGGCUGGGGAGAGCAGCUGUGGGGCUGCUCCGGGUGGUGGAGUUGCUGAGAUCCACCCCAUCCCUCCGGCUCGGCAGUCUCAUGGCCUGUGUGAAACUGCACAAAGUUUCUUCUAAACGUGAAUUUAAUGUGCUUUCAGCCUUGACAACCUCCUUUUAAAUGAAACCAUUUAUGCUGAGCAAAAGGCACAUUUGCCUCUCCAAAUAAAUGGAAUUAUGGUUCCAAAAUCUGACUUAAUCCUGAAGCUCUUACACUGUACAGUAAGUAGAAAAGAAAGAGGAUUGCUUGGAGGAGCAGGGGUUAGCAGGAUCAGGCUCCAUUUUAUAUAAACUCGCUUGUUUUCCUUCUGAUAUUUAAUAUAUCUUUUUCAGAACUCCCACUGGCUGUUUAUCACGAAGUCAAAGUAACUUCAAAUCUGUUACCUAAUGGUAAACAAACUAAUAAUUGAAAAUAAUGAGGGAUGGUACAGAGAGUGCCCAUCCAGCUUUCCUGCUAGGAAAAUUUGAGGAUUGUUAAAGAAACCAAAACUGCUGUUCUUCCAGAUGUAUUUUUAUCAUGAAGUCACGUCCUUUCUAAAUUCAUAUCAGGACUUUUCUCAAAUACAUUGUAAUUAUUUGUUCUUCUUCUACAUCGUUUUCUUUGUAAAACUGUAUUUAAAAUCUGCAUUGACAUUUCAAAGGAUUUGAGGGAAGAUGUUUACAAAGUAAUGGUGCCAUUUGGAUUUGUUAUAUUUCUAAAAAUGGAAUUUCUG
Falco peregrinus (peregrine falcon) is the source of this 9723-nucleotide long non-coding RNA. RefSeq lists it as uncharacterized. The record is from RefSeq and is a predicted model, not a curated record. Lineage: Eukaryota; Metazoa; Chordata; Aves; Falconiformes; Falconidae. The transcript has 7 exons.